RNAcentral lists this ribosomal RNA (468 nucleotides) under uncultured bacterium. RNAcentral's name for it is "partial 16S ribosomal RNA". It matches the Rfam family "Bacterial small subunit ribosomal RNA", at positions 28 to 507 of the family's 1533-position model. The record is from RNAcentral.
GACGAAUGCUGGCGGCGUGCUUAACACAUGCAAGUCGAACGGAAAGGCCCUGCUUUUGUGGGGUGCUCGAGUGGCGAACGGGUGAGUAACACGUGAGUAACCUGCCCUUGACUUUGGGAUAACUUCAGGAAACUGGGGCUAAUACCGGAUAGGAGCUCCUGCUGCAUGGUGGGGGUUGGAAAGUUUCGGCGGUUGGGGAUGGACUCGCGGCUUAUCAGCUUGUUGGUGGGGUAGUGGCCUACCAAGGCUUUGACGGGUAGCCGGCCUGAGAGGGUGACCGGCCACAUUGGGACUGAGAUACGGCCCAGACUCCUACGGGAGGCAGCAGUGGGGAAUAUUGCACAAUGGGCGGAAGCCUGAUGCAGCAACGCCGCGUGCGGGAUGACGGCCUUCGGGUUGUAAACCGCUUUCGCCUGUGACGAAGCGUGAGUGACGGUAAUGGGUAAAGAAGCACCGGCUAACUACGUG